AAUGCUGGGGUAAAAUGGUAGGAAAACAUGCAAAGCUGGUAUACAGAAGACAAACAAUGUGAAAUGUAGAAGGAGCUGAAACAGAUUUUCCGACUGCAGUAAUAAAUGAUAAACAAGUGCAAGCUGGCCAAAUGGGCGUGGCAGUGGGAAUGUGAAGGUGUAGGGGCUUUUCCAUUUCCCAGUUGCUAGGCUGAUAUUGAAAACUGCUGCCUGCAAAGCUAAGCAAAUGUUGCCCAGCGUCAAUGUGUGUGCGUGUGUGGGUGUGUGUGUCUUUUCACACUCUUGCAUUAUUUAUGCAGGCCACCAUUCGUGCGUGAGUGUGUGUGUGUGUGUGUGAGCCAUGUACGUGCCUCGAACUGCAACGACAGCUGCUCCUGCCCCAGUUACCCGGAACCAGGAUUCUGGAUCCUGGAUCCAGCGCCCAGUACCCAGGAUUCAGAAUCCAGAACCCAGAACCCAGAAUCCAGCCUCCACUUUGGGACCCUGUGUGCGCAUAUAUAUUUAUUCCAUGUACAUAUUCUUGCACGUCGCAAAAGAGCAGAGGUCCGGGGAAAAGGACACGGGACGCAGGUCUGAGCACUCCGGACAAAGGGUGACUGCUGCCGUUUAUUGUCCUGCUCCUGCUUCUGCUCCGGCUCCUGCGAAUGGCGGAGCACUGGAGCUGUGGAGAAACGUGGCCGGGCAAGUGACCCAGAAAGUACCAGUAACCAGCAAUAAAUGGCAAUAUUUGAUGGAUUACUUGAGCGUUACUUUGACUUGCCAACGAAAAGAAGAGUAUAAUUUUAUCGUGUUUGUGGGCGGACGUUGAAUGAAUAAGUAAUAGAUUCAAUUUUAUUUUCUGUUGCUAAUAAACAUAAAUUAUUUU
This is a non-coding RNA of Drosophila melanogaster (fruit fly), 865 nucleotides long. The record is from Ensembl. Lineage: Eukaryota; Metazoa; Arthropoda; Insecta; Diptera; Drosophilidae.